GAAAUGCGAUAAGUAAUGUGAAUUGCAGAAUUCAGUGAAUCAUCGAAUCUUUGAACGCACAUUGCGCCCGCCAGUAUUCUGGCGGGCAUGCCUGUUCGAGCGUCAUUUCAACCAUCAAGCCCCGGGCUUGUGUUGGGGACCUGCGGCUGCCGCAGGCCCUGAAAACCAGUGGCGGGCUCGCUGUCACACCGAGCGUAGUAGAUUCUCAUCUCGCUCAGGGCGUGCUGCGGGUUCCGGCCGUAAAACAGCCUUAUUUUACCCAAGGUUGACCUCGGAUCAGGUAGGAAGACCCGCUGAACUUAAG
RNAcentral lists this unclassified non-coding RNA (304 nucleotides) under plant metagenome. RNAcentral's name for it is "partial contains 5.8S ribosomal RNA, internal transcribed spacer 2, and large subunit ribosomal RNA". The stretch from base 1 to 105 matches the Rfam family "5.8S ribosomal RNA", at positions 50 to 154 of the family's 154-position model. The record is from RNAcentral.